AAAGUCGUAACAAGGUUUCCGUAGGUGAACCUGCGGAAGGAUCAUUAUUGAAUAAACUUGGUUAGGUUGUUGCUGGCUCUUAGGGGCAUGUGCACGCCGACUCCAUCUUUAACCACCUGUGCACCUUGCGUAGAUCUGAUAAUCUCGAGGAAACUCGGUUUGAGAAUUGCUGUGCAACAAAAGCCAGCUCUUUUUGUAAUCAGGUCUAUGUUUCUAUAUACCCCACACGAAUGUAUUUUGAAUGUCUUAACUGGCCUUUGUGCCUUUAAAAACAAAUACAACUUUCAACAACGGAUCUCUUGGCUCUC
This 308-nucleotide unclassified non-coding RNA is filed under the name Basidiomycota sp. RNAcentral's name for it is "partial contains small subunit ribosomal RNA, internal transcribed spacer 1, and 5.8S ribosomal RNA". The stretch from base 1 to 47 matches the Rfam family "Eukaryotic small subunit ribosomal RNA", at positions 1785 to 1831 of the family's 1831-position model. The record is from RNAcentral. Lineage: Eukaryota; Fungi; Basidiomycota.